GAAAGAACCAAUCAGGACUGCCUUGUUGCACGAUCCAAAUUUUCUUCAAAACUUGGCAUUUUCUACGUGUAGCUUGCUAGUUCCAAGUUUGCAUUUUG
Molecule: long non-coding RNA, 98 nt
Organism: Etheostoma cragini (Arkansas darter)
Lineage: Eukaryota; Metazoa; Chordata; Actinopteri; Perciformes; Percidae
Exons: 3
Source: RefSeq, a predicted model, not a curated record